CGAGGGGUGCUGGAGCCACAGUUGGUGGAGGCGGAGGGGACGACGAAGAUGGGUAAACAAGUGAGGCUGAGAGAGAAAGAGUAGAUGGUGUUUACAGCUGUAAUUUCCUUACAUUUCUUUUUAUAUGUUAAAAGACAAUAAAGUCCCUAGAGCUUUUGUAAUAGACAUUAAACAAGUGAGGGUAAAAUUGUCAUUUUGAAGAGAUAGGGGUUGGUGAGUGGUUGAAAAAAGAGAGGGAAGUUUUGGCGCGCUUCAUAAGGAGAUAUCGCGGCGACAAAUAUCGCCACUAAAACUCUAUUUUUUUACCGGCGACAAAUUGUUGCCGCUAUAUAUUCCGUUUCAGUGGCGACUCUUAUAUGUCGCCACCAUUUUAUAUACAUUGGCGGCGACAAAUAAAAGUCGCCACCAUUUUCUGUACAUUGGCGGCGACAAAUAAUUGUCGCCACCAUUUUCUAUGCAUUAGCGGCGACAAAUAAAUGUCGCCACCAUAUUAUUUACAUUAGUGGCGACAUUCCCUGUCGCCACCAAAAAGUCGCCACUAAAAAGUACUUUUGUUGUAGUGAUGGUUUUGUGAAAUUAAAUAAAGUAAUUGCGGUUUUCACGUAAAAUUUUGAAAAUGGUUUUCUACCCCCUCGUUGUAGCGUUUUAAAGAAAAGGUUUACGUGUGGGAAACCGUUUUAUAAAGGGUUUUUCUGUUUUCAUGAUUCUUAAUAUUUCAAAAUAAGUUUCCGAGUGGGAAAUAUUUUAAACUAAUAGAUGUGGAUUUAUGAUAAACUAUGAUGGAAUGAUUGUUAUGUGGUGAUUGUAUGUAGAUAUGUAUUCAGUGUGGUUGUCUCUUGUACUUGUGCGACGCCGUACAAAUAUAAGGGAGACUCUGUCCGUGUGAACAGUGAAUUUCCUAUAUUUGUGGCGAAUCUGACGUCUUAUGGGGUCAAGGCUUUAAAUAAAAAAUUGGGCAUUUCCGCAUCGAUUUUAAAACCAAAAGGGACCCCCGGUCGUGGCAUAUAAUCUUAAAAUUAGUAUUUAUAAUUUUGAAUUCUAAAUUUUAAAUUUAAAAUUUAAAUUAUUAUUUUUAAUUAUUUAAAUUUUAAAUUUGACAUUUUAUAUUUGUAAAUUUUGAUUUUAUUUAAAAUUUAAAUUUUAAAAUUUAUAACUUUAAAUUUUUAAAUUUGAGAUUUAAAAAUUUAAAUUUAAAUUUAAAUUUUUAAUUUUUUAAUUUUAAAAGUUAUCUAUUUAAAUUUGAAAUUUUAAAUAUAAAAUUUAAAAUUUUAAUUCAAAUAUAAUAAUUGGAGCAAUAUUAUUAUUUUCUAUUUAUAACUUGUAACAUCCCAAUAAUUUCAUAUCGGAUAAUUAUGGCUAGAUGUGGGAGUAUAUAAGCUUAAGUAUGCUAGACAUAAUAACUGAAUUUAAGCAUUUUGGGCCGGUGGUUUGGGACCAACAAGUUAUUGUUGUUAGCGGGUCGAGUCGUUACAUUUGGUAUUAGAGCCAGUUCGCCUGCCGGAAAUGUGAGAUGAGUCUUGGCUGAGCCAGGGUCGAUGAAUGUCACGCCCCGGAGCCGCCAAUUUCGUCGGUUCGGGCACGCGAAUAGACGCCGAACGGACAGCACCUUCUCUGUCCGCCCAAUGCUCCAACAAUAUGUAUAAUACAAGCAAUUCAAUACAAGAUGAAUGCAAUUAUACAAGGUUUGCACGAGGGCAAACAACAACCAAAUCAUAAGCGAAAGCAUCUAUGCUAUUACACUAAACCAUUCAACAUAUGUCAUUUGAUUACAUUUAAACCAAACACAAGUAAACUAUUCUUUUACAUACAGUUUUUCAUUCACAAUUACAUCACAUUGUCCUUUAACCCAAAAUAUAGGAAUUACAUUUUUUUCUUUACAUUUUUUAUAAUUCAACAUACAAAA
RNAcentral lists this long non-coding RNA (1903 nucleotides) under Ananas comosus (pineapple). RNAcentral's name for it is "long non-coding RNA (ACOM_LNC003445)". The record is from RNAcentral. Lineage: Eukaryota; Viridiplantae; Streptophyta; Magnoliopsida; Poales; Bromeliaceae.